RNAcentral lists this small RNA (617 nucleotides) under Pan troglodytes (chimpanzee). RNAcentral describes it as "processed transcript". The record is from RNAcentral. Lineage: Eukaryota; Metazoa; Chordata; Mammalia; Primates; Hominidae.
AUCCAAGUGCGCGCCCUGGCGGGUCCGGACCAAGGUAAAUGUGCAGUUUCGGGGCGGCGCAUGACGCGACUGGGACUAGGCCGGAGGCAGCGGGGGGCCGGCAGGUGGGCCGCUCAGUGCGUUGAAGGAUUCGAUCCCCAGUCCCUCCCUCCCAGUUCUAGGCGCCCCAAACCGCUCCAGGCCCGAGAGGCUGUAGGUUCCAUGAGGACAGGCCUUGAGUCUGUCCUGGUCUCUGGAAUCAUGGUGUCUAGUAGAGGCCAGCACACAGCAAAUAUAUAAAUGUACAAAUGAGUGAAUGAAGAGAAUCUGAUUGGCCUUAAGGAACUUACGCACUUAAAAUAAUUGGGCAGAAGAGAAGCAGUGAAGGAGUGCAGAGGCAUCACCUGAAAGGGAUCACUGAGAUUCUGAUGAACAGACCUUCUGCCCGCAAUGCCUUGGGGAAUGUCUUCGUCAGUGAGGUAAGAAAGGGCGGGCGCCAGGGUGGGCUGGGGAUGGGCUGGCACUAUCUAACUGGGUGUCCUCUGUAGCUGCUGGAAACUCUGGCCCAGCUGCGGGAGGACCGGCAAGUGCGUGUCCUGCUCUUCAGAAGUGGAGUGAAGGGCGUGUUCUGUGCAGGU